CUCUUCCGCAUCGGGGAGUAGCCACCGCUCAGACAGCGGGAUCACGCCAACAGGCUCGCGCCAUGCGCGUGGUGUGAUCAGCCGGUUUUUCACCGGCCCGGCAAGACCGUGGUGAAACUCGCCUUUGUCGGACAGGUGAGGGCCACCCGGUU
This is a non-coding RNA of Kaistia sp. SCN 65-12, 152 nucleotides long. Lineage: Bacteria; Pseudomonadati; Pseudomonadota; Alphaproteobacteria; Hyphomicrobiales; Kaistiaceae. The record is from Rfam.